Mesocricetus auratus (golden hamster) is the source of this 187-nucleotide long non-coding RNA. RefSeq lists it as uncharacterized. The record is from RefSeq and is a predicted model, not a curated record. NCBI's taxonomy places the organism in Eukaryota, Metazoa, Chordata, Mammalia, Rodentia, Cricetidae. The transcript is spliced from 2 exons.
AUGGAAUCAUGAGAUUCGCAGGCAAAUGGAUGACACUAGAAGGAACCAUCCUGAGUGAGAUCAGGACGUAAGUUCUGAUUCUGGACCAGCGCCAUGCCUGUCUGCCUGCCUCCAUGCUCCAUGCUAUGAUGGUCAUGACCUCUGACCCUGUGGAACUGUGAGUCCCCAAAGUAAAUGUUUUAAUGUA